This 1235-nucleotide long non-coding RNA is filed under the name Junco hyemalis (dark-eyed junco). RNAcentral's name for it is "lncRNA (ENSJHYG00000015007.1)". Lineage: Eukaryota; Metazoa; Chordata; Aves; Passeriformes; Passerellidae. The record is from RNAcentral.
CCCUCCGCUCCGGGUUUGCAAUAGGUCGGCUCCGGCGCGCCGUGCCGAGCGGGGCCGGAGUGUGCGCGGUGUCUGUGCCGGCUCCGCUCCCCCGCCUCGCCAGCUCCUGCGGCCGCGGCAGCUGCGGCUUUGGGGGCGGCUGGAUCCGAGGGGAAAAUAAAGUAAAAAAAAAAAAAAGCUAAACCCAAGAAGAAGAAAAAAAACCUGUGCAGGAUCCGCCUCGCAUACGACAUCCACUUUGCAUGAGAAAGGUGAAGCUGACACGGUGAUUACUUUCCAAUCACUCGGAACGCCUUGAAACCUCCUUAAGGACCCCUACAGGUUCUCCUUGAUCGGCACAGAUUAGAAAAAGCCCCAUUUGUUUCUCUGUCCUUCUCUCUUUCCUUCCUUUCUGCUUUCCCUCCCGUUGCCCUCUGUUGAAAGUUUAACAAGAUCUUUUCUGUAGAAGGCGUCAGCCUGCCCUCCCUCGCUCAGCACAAUAAAGGAGCAGACCCAAGGGAAGUGUGACCCAAGCCCGGCAAGCCCCAGGAGCAGGAGCCUUCUGAGGAGCUGGGAUGCCUUUCAGACAAAAAAGGCCAAGUCUGCUGCCAUGGAAGUCCCCAUCAGAACUCUUGCUGCCUUACACAGAGUCAGCACUUUGUAGCUGGAGAGGGGAUGUUCAAAUGCAGCUUUGGAGGCCACAGUGCCAGCACAGCUCAAGGCCUGGUUUGGAGUGCUUGCUGAGUGAAAUGUGGAAGAUCCAUCCCAAAACCCCGAGAGUAUUUAGAAGGAAACACCGUAAUUGAGGUUUAUUUCUCUUCCAAUCUCAGACCCCUCCAGAAGGGUUUGUCACACACAGACCCAGAGCCCAUGGGGCUCAGCUGCCAGCUCCACACUCAGUGCCUGGGCUGGCUCAACCAGGUGAUUUUGGCUGUGCCAAACAAAGCUGGAAAUGCUGUAUCCUCAACCAGACGAGCUUGAAUGACAAGUGACUCGUAUUAGGAAUUCCUUCUGUUCAAUCAACUCCCCUUGAUGUGAGAUAAAGAGACUUGAUGAAAACAGACAGAAUCCAGUUCCAGUCUCCUCUUGGGAGGAGUGAAGACCUUUUUUACAUAGGGACAAAUUCAUUCCUGGCAUAAGGCUUUUUACUGGAGUGGAAUUAUAGCAGGGAUGAAAACAGGUCAUCUUGUUUUGUACUACAUGCUUCACAUCAGUGAUGAAAUAAACUGGAUCUCAAAGGAGAGGUGAUAAAAAGU